This 497-nucleotide ribosomal RNA is filed under the name uncultured bacterium. RNAcentral describes it as "partial 16S ribosomal RNA". It matches the Rfam family "Bacterial small subunit ribosomal RNA", at positions 28 to 507 of the family's 1533-position model. The record is from RNAcentral.
GAUGAACGCUGGCGGCGUGCCUAAUACAUGCAAGUCGAGCGAACAGACGAGGAGCUUGCUCCUCUGACGUUAGCGGCGGACGGGUGAGUAACACGUGGAUAACCUACCUAUAAGAAUGGGAUAACUUCGGGAAACCGGAGCUAAUACCGGAUAAUAUAUUGAACCGCAUGGUUCAAUAGUGAAAGACGGUUUUGCUGUCACUUAUAGAUGGAUCCGCGCCGCAUUAGCUAGUUGGUAAGGUAACGGCUUACCAAGGCAACGAUGCGUAGCCGACCUGAGAGGGUGAUCGGCCACACUGGAACUGAGACACGGUCCAGACACCUACGAGAGGCAGCAGUAGGGAAUCUUCCGCAAUGGGCGAAAGCCUGACGGAGCAACGCCGCGUGAGUGAUGAAGGUCUUCGGAUCGUAAAACUCUGUUAUUAGGGAAGAACAAAUGUGUAAGUAACUAUGCACGUCUUGACGGUACCUAAUCAGAAAGCCACGGCUAACUACGUG